GUGGGGAAUAUUGGACAAUGGGCGCAAGCCUGAUCCAGCCAUGCCGCGUGCAGGAUGAAGGCCUUCGGGUUGUAAACUGCUUUUGUACGGAACGAAAAGACUCCUUCUAAUAAAGGGGGUCCAUGACGGUACCGUAAGAAUAAGCACCGGCUAACUACGUGCCAGCAGCCGCGGUAAUACGUAGGGUGCAAGCGUUAAUCGGAAUUACUGGGCGUAAAGCGUGCGCAGGCGGUUAUAUAAGACAGAUUUGAAAUCCCCGGGCUCAACCUGGGAACUGCAUUUGUGACUGUAUAGCUAGAGUACGGUAGAGGGGGAUGGAAUUCCGCGUGUAGCAGUGAAAUGCGUAGAUAUGCGGAGGAACACCGAUGGCGAAGGCAAUCCCCUGGACCUGUACUGACGCUCAUGCACGAAAGCGUGGGGAGCAAACAGGAUUAGAAACCCUGGUAGUCC
This 450-nucleotide ribosomal RNA is filed under the name uncultured bacterium. RNAcentral describes it as "partial 16S ribosomal RNA". It matches the Rfam family "Bacterial small subunit ribosomal RNA", at positions 354 to 796 of the family's 1533-position model. The record is from RNAcentral.